UAAGCUUGCACACCAACCAUCGUAAGGGAGGUCGGGCGUCCCGUUAUCAAUCAAACUUCACGCGUGGUUGUCCGUGAUACACCGCCGCUGCUGAUCUUUUUUACGUAUGAACUUCAGCACGCGUCGUACGUAUCACGCGUGAAUUUGAAGAACAACAACCUCAUUUCUUGGAUGCUUGUUUUCUUUGCGAAAAACCACUUGGUCGACAAAGACAUCUUUAUGCACGGGUAAAAUUGGCUCCAAUUUCAACAAAGUUUUCGUUUUUUGUUGUUAAUUGAAUUGAUUUGAGUCAUAUCUCAAAUGGGACUAGAGGAAACUCUGUUUAAGAUGGAUUGUUUUGAUUUUUUUUUUGUUUCUAAUCUGGGGUUUGUAUAAAGUUUCGAUUUUUAUAAAAAACAAUGACCAAAUCUGGUUGAUUUUACAACAAGAAGAAACAAAUCUUCACAAUCUGUUUCUUGAUUAUUUCAUAGAUCUAGUUGAUUUUGCAACUAGAAGAAACAAAUCUUGAUUGUUUUAAUUUUUUUAUUUAUAAUUUAAUAAAUAUAAAAAAAAGCCAUCGCUAAUGAUGGGCACGAGCAUCCCUACUAAAAUCCAUCACUAGUGAUAAAAUCAAGUUAAAUGACGUGGCGGACAAUGAUUGUGUGAGGUGAGUAAUGGAAAGUGGAGCACCCCUACCCCGCUAAGGCUGUUAUGGACUAAUCUUUUAUACAUCCUUCAUCACUAUCUUUAUAAAUAUACUAAAAAUCAAUUAAAAAUAUUUUUUUCUACUUUUAUCAAUACCUUUUCUUUUUCCUCUACUUACAACCAAGUGUGCUUUGCGUAAUUAAGUGAGACAUCACCUAACACAAUAUCCGUCUCAUAUCCAUAAAAUCUUUUAAAGCUAAGGGUGUAGGGUAUGAUUCAAACACUUUAGGGUGUUUGAGUCAUUAUCUACCCAAUGAUAUUAUGUCAUGUCAAGUCCACAUUCCACUCUCCAUUUUACAGUCAAUCACUGACAAUGAUUCAAACACCUAGAGAGUGGUAAAAAUUAAAAAUAAAAAUUAUGAUUGGUUGAAAGAGGUUGGGACCCACUAUUAAACCCCCUCUCUCAUCCUCUUCCCCGUUGAAGUGACUGUACACCGAAAGCCCAACUCCCCACUCACCGAAAAGAGGCGGGCGAUCAUUCCACCAACGGCAAACAAACUCCCCCCAUCCACUCCCCGCAAUCACUCCGACCCCCCUAAUUUCAAACCCGAAUACCCGCUCCAUUACCACUCACGAAUGUUUAUAACAUCUUUGUGUACUUAUAUUAAUGGUUGCCCAAAACAGUAAUCAAUGAUAGACAAAAAAUUGAAACAAGAAUGAAAAACAACAACCGAUAGGGAAACAUCACCGGCCGACCAACGAUUCCGACUCCUGUUUCAACGACAACGGUCAGCAACACAACACUGAUCAACUGUCUAACAGAAGGCGUGCCUGAUGACGUCAUGAUCGGCUUAUACCUCGAAGGAACCAUAUAUGACCAAUUGGAGAAGAAUAUUUGCAGGAAAUAAAGCAAGCAAGGAAGCAGCUUUCUCUUUCCCCCAAAUUAAAAGCAAGUUUCUCCUCUAAAUCUGUGACUCCAAAGGGUCCAUAUGUUUCUGUACUCGCUUUCGAUGUUUCACUCACUUAUUUGUCACCAUUUUCAUACCUUUUUUCUUUUUUACUUUUUACAUGAUCAAAAUUGUCUUUUAUCUUUGUUUUAAUUUUAAUCAUUGAUCAUGUAUUUUGUUUAGAAAUAUUAGAUUUUAAUAAUCCCAACUAUUUGCCGUUGAGGUGUUGAU
This 1802-nucleotide long non-coding RNA is filed under the name Helianthus annuus (common sunflower). Its description in RNAcentral is "hypothetical non coding rna". Lineage: Eukaryota; Viridiplantae; Streptophyta; Magnoliopsida; Asterales; Asteraceae. The record is from RNAcentral.